This 312-nucleotide unclassified non-coding RNA is filed under the name Hevea brasiliensis (rubber tree). Lineage: Eukaryota; Viridiplantae; Streptophyta; Magnoliopsida; Malpighiales; Euphorbiaceae. The record is from RNAcentral.
CAGUUGGCAAAAUUUGUUAUAAAUGCAUUAGUAAAGGGAACAUUGGAGGGGAACCAAGGACUGGGGCAAUGGCUUCUAUACCAUGUGGAGUUUGUCCACGGAUACGUCAAUGUACACCUGAUGGCAUCAUCUCUCCUCAAACUUGUGUCUACUAUAGCAAGUGGUUGGAUUUUUAAUUUGAUUGUUUCAGCUAAAAAAAUUCAGGCAUGGUUUUGCAUAUUUAAUCACCCCCAAAGUUUCAUUUAAUGGAUACCAUCAAUAGUCUCUUGAGUGAUUGAAACAUUUAGUAUGGCUUCUUGAGAGUUUUCUCCC